Vicia faba (fava bean) is the source of this 441-nucleotide non-coding RNA. Lineage: Eukaryota; Viridiplantae; Streptophyta; Magnoliopsida; Fabales; Fabaceae. The record is from the annotation of a GenBank genome assembly.
AAGAACCUUGUAAAAACAACAACACACGGUUAUACUUCCUCUCUCUCUAUUCACAGUAAAACCCCUUUCUUCCUCUCCCUCCAAGAUCCGAUUUCGUCUCUCUCUUUCUCCCACACCACGAAUCCGACUUCCUCUCUUCUUCUCAGGUCCGAACCACUUCCAUCUCUCACGCAUAGAAACUUUUUCCGAACUCUCUUCUUCUCCUCUCAAAAGAUUCGUCUGCCUCCUCUCUCAACAAGAAAAAAAAAGGUCCGUCCCUUCCCUUUCUCUUCACCAUCAGAUCCGGCCAUUACUCCUCCAUUGCUGAACAUACGGCCCACUCACUUUCAGUCCAGAUGCCAUCUCCAGAAAAGACUCUGUUUUAGCGGAAAACAAAAAUGGCAAAUCAAUUUAAAUACAGUACAACAAUGGCAAGGCAAAAUAUUCCAUGGCAAAGAAAAA